UACACAUGCAGUCGAGCGGGGAGAUGUAGCUUGCUACAUUUCCUAGCGGCGGACGGGUGAGUAAUGCUUAGGAAUCUGCCUAUUAGUGGGGGACAACAUUCCGAAAGGAAUGCUAAUACCGCAUACGCCCUACGGGGGAAAGCAGGGGAUCUUCGGACCUUGCGCUAAUAGAUGAGCCUAAGUCAGAUUAGCUAGUUGGUGGGGUAAAGGCCUACCAAGGCGACGAUCUGUAGCGGGUCUGAGAGGAUGAUCCGCCACACUGGGACUGAGACACGGCCCAGACUCCUACGGGAGGCAGCAGUGGGGAAUAUUGGACAAUGGGCGAAAGCCUGAUCCAGCCAUGCCGCGUGUGUGAAGAAGGCCUUUUGGUUGUAAAGCACUUUAAGCGAGGAGGAGGCUACUUGGAUUAAUACUCUAGGAUAGUGGACGUUACUCGCAGAAUAAGCACCGGCUAACUCUGUGCCAGCAGCCGCGGUAAUACAGAGGGUGCGAGCGUUAAUCGGAUUUACUGGGCGUAAAGCGUGCGUAGGCGGCUUUUUAAGUCGGAUGUGAAAUC
This 556-nucleotide ribosomal RNA is filed under the name bacterium het-w-11. RNAcentral describes it as "bacterial SSU rRNA". It matches the Rfam family "Bacterial small subunit ribosomal RNA", at positions 50 to 601 of the family's 1533-position model. The record is from RNAcentral.